CAAGAGGACAACGACUCGGUGGCAUAACAAGAGGACAACCACUCGGUGGCAUAACAAGAGGACAACGACUCGGUGGCAUAACAAGAGGACAACCACUCGGUGGCAUAACAAGAGGACAACGACUCGGUGGCAUAACAAGAGGACAACUACUCGGUGGCAUAACAAGAGGACAACUACUCGGUGGCAUAACAAGAGGACAACUACUCGGUGGCAUAACAAGAGGACAACUACUCGGUGGCAUAACAAGAGGACAACUACUCGGUGGCAUAACAAGAGGACAACGACUCGGUGGCAUAACAAGAGGACAACGACUCGGUGGCAUAACAAGAGGACAACGACUCGGUGGCAUAACAAGAGGACAACUACUCGGUGGCAUAACAAGAGGACAACUACUCGUGCAAUUCUACACUGUGUCACUGGACCUUGUGCAUUAUGCUGCUAUAACUCUCUACAGCAGAAAGUUGAAAGGGAAACACAUCCCAAUCAAAGGUGUAUUCACUUGCGCCACUAAGGCCGAUAUUUAUCUUUUAACUUGUCCUUGUGGUAAAAAUAAUGUGGGUAGAAUGCCAAUUACGUAAAGGUAAUGGCGGACUGAACGAAGUUAUGUAGAGCACCUCAAAAUAAAACGUCAUAUUCAAUAUUGGCAAGUUAGACUAAAAUAUUAGCACUACAUAAUCUGGUGGGUGACAACCUUCAAUCGGGAUAAUAACACAAAACACAUUUUAAGACUAGAGACAUUUAUCGACAAAUAUUACGAAAACAAGCAACACCCAAACAUGACGAAGAGUAAGACAGGGGAACCGAUUUCAAUACGGAAACGUGACUUCUACAGACACAGACGAUUUAAUAUUUUCACCACCGGGAAUGGUAAAGGUCAAAAUCGAUCUGUUAAAAUCAAUAAAUGACAACCUGGGUAUACUUGAAUUAGUUAGUAAGGAUAUAAAAGAGUUGAAGGCAAGCCUCGAGAUGAGUGAUGGAAAAGCUGUGACAUUAGAGAAGGAAACACACAAACUAAAAGGGACAGUCAAUAAGAUUGAAACCGAAAUGAAUUCAAUUAAAAAGGAGAACACCGUUCUGAGGGAAGCCUUACUGGACAUACAAACUAGAUCAAUGAGAGAGAAUCGGGUACUUACAGGUAUCCAGGAGAAAGAAGGGGAAGUUACUGAAUCUGUAGUUAGAGAGUUCCUCCUUACAGCGCUUCAGAUCCCACGCAAAGUUAUCGACAAAAUCCAAUUUGAACGUGUACAGAGAGGCCGAAGGUAUGACCGCCCAAUCGUUGCCAAAUUUGCUUAAUUUAAAGAUAAAACAAUGGUUAAAAGCCUUGGUAAAAGAUUUGCUGGGACCAAAAUUGACAUGAAUGAUCAGUUUCCGAAGGAAAUUGCAGAACGGCGCAAAGUUCUGUAUCCAAUUUUCAAAGAAAAUAGAUUAAAAGCGAAACGAGUAGCUCUCGUCGUCGAUAAACUAUAUAUUGAUAACCAGUUGUUCAGAGACACAAAGACCACUCCAUGGUUAUUUAAAAAAUUACAAAGUUCUCAUAGAUGAGGAAAAUAAACACAAUUCUAGCCCAGUCAUGGAUUGUAACAACACAAUAAAAAAUAUAGAUUUUCUAUAUAUCUUCACAUAUAACUAAUUGAACACACAAGCACUAAUUCAACAUAGUGAAGAUAAAAACGAAGUAAACAGAAGGCACAGUAUGUGUGGUGUGUGUUUAUUUUGAUUUGUUAUGUUUGUAAAUUGAGUGAGUGAGUAAUGAAAUGGUUGCAUAUCCCAGAGCCAAUGUAUUGUUGUG
This is a long non-coding RNA of Oncorhynchus tshawytscha (Chinook salmon), 1789 nucleotides long. The record is from Ensembl. NCBI's taxonomy places the organism in Eukaryota, Metazoa, Chordata, Actinopteri, Salmoniformes, Salmonidae.